This 447-nucleotide ribosomal RNA is filed under the name uncultured bacterium. RNAcentral describes it as "SSU rRNA". It matches the Rfam family "Bacterial small subunit ribosomal RNA", at positions 26 to 518 of the family's 1533-position model. The record is from RNAcentral.
AGAGCGAACGCUGGCGGCAGGCUUAACACAUGCAAGUCGAACGGGCAUAGCAAUAUGUCAGUGGCAGACGGGUGAGUAACGCGUGGGAACGUACCUUUUGGUUCGGAACAACACAGGGAAACUUGUGCUAAUACCGGAUAAGCCCUUACGGGGAAAGAUUUAUCGCCGAAAGAUCGGCCCGCGUCUGAUUAGCUAGUUGGUGAGGUAAUGGCUCACCAAGGCGACGAUCAGUAGCUGGUCUGAGAGGAUGAUCAGCCACAUUGGGACUGAGACACGGCCCAAACUCCUACGGGAGGCAGCAGUGGGGAAUAUUAGACAAUGGGCGAAAGCCUGAUCCAGCCAUGCCGCGUGAGUGAUGAAGGCCCUAGGGUUGUAAAGCUCUUUUGUGCGGGAAGAUAAUGACGGUACCGCAAGAAUAAGCCCGGCUAACUUCGCGCCAGCAGCCGC